UCAGAAUUUCAGCAUUUCACCAAGGGGAAGAAGCUUGUCUAAUCUGGAUUUGCCUCACCCCAUUAGGGUUGGAUGGGUCUGAGGCAGCCAAGUACGCUUGGGUCACCUCAGCGUUGGGUCACCUUGACAACGCACCUGGCAUCCACAGCUGGUAUCAAAGAGCGAUGCGCGUCUCGUCCAGGCAGCUCCACUGGUGCAGCACAGCGUGACUUUUAGCAGAGAAAACAGUCAUUCAUUUAUGAGAAAACAUGCAGCAAUGCUAAAUCCCUCAGCUGUACUGCUACUUAAGGGGGUCCAGGUAGCAACAUCGGCUACACGAGCUACACCCAUUGGCUAAAAGAAUAAAAGGAGCCCGCUGCCAGCCCUCUCCUGAUUGGCGGCCCACCGCUGGGCGGCUGGGUGACGGGCUUCGUUCGUUAGCCCGUGACGGACAGUGCAACAGCUGGGGGAGGUCCCUCUGCUCCGCCCCCUGCUCCUGCCCCCACGCUGGGCUUGGGGCUAGCUCCGCCCUCCCUCUCCAGGGGACCCGCUGUGCCAGAGCACCUCGUUAGCCCGGACAACCCCCAGCAACCGCCCCCAGAAGGAGGAGGUGACAGACGGAUGCUAAUGGAGAGAGCACAGCUCCAUCCUUCUUCACCACCAGUCCCACUUUUCCUGCUUCAAUCUGCUCCACACGUUGGGCCAGAUGCCGCUACCGUCAUGUUAAUGCUACCACACCUGGUGCACGUGUUGAGCUUCACCUGUGUGUAAUCUGCAAGAAUUCUAAAAUUAAGUAGUAACCACCCUCUAAACUGCAGUUUUUUUUUUGCUUUACAAAACAAAUGACACAAGUUCUGUUAAAAACCUGUAAUAUUAAAUGAUACAUGAUUGGACAGACAGGCAGACAGAAAGACAGACAGAUAGGUCAUUUUACAACACCAGGAGUCCCGCAAAAGGCCCCCACCAGGUUUCUUUCUAACAUCCCCAGAUACAGAUAGAAGUUACUGAUAUCUCUUUCCCUUUUAACUCUUUAUGCGCAAACACAAUAUAAAUAAUCCACACACAAAAGAUAUAUACACAAAGAUAGACUGAUUUACAGGAAGUCAAAUUAAAUACAGUAUAUACCUCAGUGGUAUGUGUGAACAACACAGUAAGUGCUGUAAAACGGUGUCAACCUUAUUCUAGUAAAUCAGGCCUUCAGCGAUGAAACUGAACCAGCGAAACCUGGACAGGUUGGGGAUCCUGAGGAAAAGCGCAUCAUUAUCGCACUGUUUUUAAUCCCCCACUGCAGACUCAUUACUUUCUCUGUACGCUCGUAUUUCAAAAACCCAUGCCCCGCUCAAAAGCACAGGAGCCGGUUUAUGAGAAGAAGACAACCUGAACUUAAGCGUUGAGCGAUCUCAAGCGGGCGUUUAUUGUUUUGUUAACACGGCCAGGCGGCGAAUACUUAAUUUACUUGUAAGGGAUCCGUAACAUGACAUCUACAUUUCAAGCCAUUUGUUAAACAAAAGCUACAAGGAAGCCAAGGGCAUUUGGCGCUGUGGCAAACACAAUGGCAAACAGGGCCGGUGGGGGGGCGAUGGCUUUCAUGAAAAUGAGCAACCACACCGACAAUGCAGGCCCUAAUCUCUUCAGAGGCCAGGAAUCAGUUACACAGCAGUUCUUGUUUCUCAAUGCUUUUCAUUAUAACCGGCUUCCCAUUCAAACACACCCCCACCUACAACCCACCCACCCUCCUAAUGUGUUGCCAGGGGCUCUUCUCUUACUGGGAUCAGAUAUGAGGUACCCCCACCCCCCCUGCCCCACAACAGAAGGGGAGAAAUAAGUGGGGCAGGCAAGAAGGAGGGGGCUAGGCCUCAAAGCAUGGGAUUAGAGUUAAUGUGCCUCCCUAGGUUUAUAAUCUCUUCAGAGGGGGCUUUGUUUGAGAGCCAGAGGGCGGCGAGAUAAGUAUCUAUUACAGAAACUCCCUCUUAGCCGACCCCCCUCUCAGCCAAAAUAAAACACAAACCACUUGGCUCUGCUCCCCUGUUCCCCCCCGAUAUCCAAAACCAAAAAACAAGUGCUGCCCCUUUUCAGCUAAUCUGGAAUUAGGGGACAGAGCCGUGCAGAGAGCCAAAGGGAUCCCAUAUUUACCCCAUCUGUGCCCCUCAAACUGAAACCAGUCUGGGAAGAUCAAAGACGGGUUUUGAAAAGAAAUGAGAUUAUAGCCAAGGAGAGCCAGCUUUACCCCUUUUUCUUAGGGGAGAAUGGAGGGGUGUUUGCAAAGGACACCAUAUGACGGUGUUUAGAC
Molecule: long non-coding RNA, 2269 nt
Organism: Anguilla rostrata (American eel)
Lineage: Eukaryota; Metazoa; Chordata; Actinopteri; Anguilliformes; Anguillidae
Exons: 2
Source: RefSeq, a predicted model, not a curated record